Molecule: long non-coding RNA, 484 nt
Filed under: Crocodylus porosus (Australian saltwater crocodile)
Lineage: Eukaryota; Metazoa; Chordata; Crocodylia; Crocodylidae
Description: lncRNA (ENSCPRG00005009437.1)
Source: RNAcentral
UAUAAAGGUAUAAAGUAAGGGUGGCUGAACUGGGCUGUAAAUAUUUGCCAUCCUUUUUUUUUAAAUUUCUUUCAGAGGGAAGUCUGACAUGUCCUUCAUCCUCAUUCAGUGCAGACUGACUCCCACACUUCUUGCCUGCUGAUCAGAUAGCUGGCCUCUGGGAUGUUACCAGACGUCCUCAGGUAUCAGACUCACCAACUCAGAGUUCUUCCUCAUUACCUUACUUCAGCUUCCCAGGUAUCCCUGCCCCUCGCUCUCCUUGGACUUGUAGCUAAGAUUUUACAAGACCUUUUAUCCUUCAGAUGGAUGCCUUGGAAACAGCUUUGGGGGCAGUGCUGUGUCAAGACAGAGAAGGUGCUGAGAAACUCAUUUCUAAUGCAAGUAGAAUACUGAACACUGCCGAUAAGAGGUAUGCUACUGUAAAAAGGCAAUGCCUAGCGAUCAAGUGGGUGGUGGAGUAUUUUAGAUAUUAUCUAAUAGGAGA